Molecule: long non-coding RNA, 1082 nt
Organism: Papaver somniferum (opium poppy)
Lineage: Eukaryota; Viridiplantae; Streptophyta; Magnoliopsida; Ranunculales; Papaveraceae
Exons: 6
Source: RefSeq, a predicted model, not a curated record
UCAAAAUGCAUCCUUUUCUUACGGUCUCAUCCAAUGGUCCGGAUUUAACUUCUUCAUGCGUUACCAAAUCAUCUUCGACGGAGUUAUUCGCUUCAUUAAAUCUCAUUCAUGCGGUGAAAGUCUCAGACGUUUCGUUCGUCAGCCUUGAGUUCACUCACUGGCCGUUUUUCUUUUUGGUAAUCAAUGGGGUUAAACCCACACAAUAUAUCUUUCCAGACGAUUCAUUAUAAUCCCAGUUCAGUGGAAUCAUAAACCGCAUGAAGAAUAUGUUCAAUUGAUCCAUUAUAAUAUCAGGGAUUCUCCGUUUUGGCAAAACGCAAUCAUGUAAUUUCAGGAUUCUGCUACUUUGGUUGUGAAGGGAGUGCACCAUACUGUCAUCCGUCAUAUAAACGUUUGAAUUUCGUAAAUGAAAUCGAUGUGAUGGAUUAGCUUCGCAUUCUUGAUGAGUACUGAUGGGAACUUUGGGAAUUCAUUCAGUCAUGGAUCAUAUGACGGACCAAUUGCACAUGCUCGCUUUUAAGUUGGUGAACAAAUGACUUUUGCUUCAAAGAUAUUAGACAUAAGAUGUAAACAUAUCAAUUGUGAUUCAUAAGAUUUGGCCAGAUCAGUUGUUUCUUGACCAAGUUUGAAAGUUGCAGUCGUCAUGGAAAACUUUGAGACUCAAACUAUAUCUUGCUUUAGGAAAAUGUUCAACUGCCUAAUGAUCAAUAAUCAGAUUUCUUGCCAGGACUCUUUUGAAAAGUUGAGGUGAUUAAUAGGGGUAUAAUUGCAAUUGGAGGAGAACAAUAUUUGUAACUGUUUUGCAUAACAAAUCUUUCUUUUUGCGUUUCUUUUUUUGAUGCCUUGCUGCGGUGGACUUAUGUAUUUUAACUUUUCUAAAAGCUAUUCACACCUCUAUAAAAACGGAAUUCUAUAGAAGGAGAGCUUCCAUUAUCUAUAAAGAUCACCGCAGUAGCAUCAAAGUUUGUUAUUUGUUUGUUUAGGUGUACGUAAAAACUUCACAGCUAUUGAUAAAAAAAACAACAACUUCUCAGCUGAUACGUCGAUACUUUGGGUCGGUCUUCAGUAUAUAUAUAUAUAUA